AUUGAACGCUGGCGGCAGGCCUAACACAUGCAAGUCGAGCGGAUGAAGGGAGCUUGCUCCUGGAUUCAGCGGCGGACGGGUGAGUAAUGCCUAGGAAUCUGCCUGGUAGUGGGGGAUAACGUCCGGAAACGGGCGCUAAUACCGCAUACGUCCUGAGGGAGAAAGGGGGGGAUCUUCGGACCUCACGCUAUCAGAUGAGCCUAGGUCGGAUUAGCUAGUUGGUGGGGUAAAGGCCUACCAAGGCGACGAUCCGUAACUGGUCUGAGAGGAUGAUCAGUCACACUGGAACGGAGACACGGUCCAGACUCCUACGGGAGGCAGCAGUGGGGAAUAUUGGACAAUGGGCGAAAGCCUGAUCCAGCCAUGCCGCGUGUGUGAAGAAGGUCUUCGGAUUGUAAAGCACUUUAAGUUGGGAGGAAGGGCAGUAAGUUAAUACCUUGCUGUUUUGACGUUACCAACAGAAUAAGCACCGGCUAACUUCGUG
RNAcentral lists this ribosomal RNA (484 nucleotides) under uncultured bacterium. RNAcentral describes it as "partial 16S ribosomal RNA". It matches the Rfam family "Bacterial small subunit ribosomal RNA", at positions 30 to 507 of the family's 1533-position model. The record is from RNAcentral.